Molecule: long non-coding RNA, 2185 nt
Organism: Xenopus laevis (African clawed frog)
Lineage: Eukaryota; Metazoa; Chordata; Amphibia; Anura; Pipidae
Exons: 6
Source: RefSeq, a predicted model, not a curated record
GGUCACGUGACGGAGACGUUCGUGACGUCACACGCGGCGUCCUUAUAUACUGGGAACUAGGCGCUACCGUCUUAGAACUGGGAAUCUGUCCUUUUGUUUCUAAGAUCGGCUUUGGCACAGCUAAGAAAACUCUUUAUUAGUAAUGGAGUACAUGAAAGAGCCUGCAACAAGCAGCCAGGGCAACAUACUUUGCUGCCAGUGUGGCAUUCCAAUCCCCCCCCCAAUCCAGCCAACAUGUGUGUAGCCUGCUUGCGGACACAGGUUGACAUUAGCGAGGACAUCCCAAAGCAAGUGUCAGUGCAUUUCUGCAAACAAUGUGAACGGUACGACUUAUCGAUGCAGGCUUUGUCUGGACUGAGCAUCAUUCAAAGAGGCUUAAAGUAAAGCUAACCAUACAAAAGAAGGUGAUGAAUGGAGCAAUUCUUCAGCAGGUUUUUGUGGUAGACUAUGUUGUUCAAUCCCAGAUGUGUGAUGAUGUGCCAUAGAGUAGAAGCUAAAGAUUUCUGGAAAGCUGUGGUCCAGGUCCGUCAAAAAGUAAGAAUAAAUGCAGCAGAGGUAGCUUGUAUUUCCACCCUUCUUAUGGGCUGUAAUACACAUCAGUCCCAGCCCCAAUAUAGUUUACAAUCUAAGAUUCUGAUAACAUUUAAUUACUCAAUUUCAUUUGAAGCCAAUCAACCUGCCUCUAUGCAUUUUGAGUAUGAAAGGAAACCGGAGUUCCUGGUUGAAACACACAGAGACGCAAGGAGAACAUACAAACUCAGUAAGGCAGAAGUGCUAACCACUGAGCUACCUGAUAGUUCCUUGCAUAUACCGGACUAUCUACAGUGGCUAAAUCCCUUUAUAAUACACAAAAGCCAUGCAUUUCCUGUAAAUUAUAUCUUAUAAAUGGUGACUAGUGAUGUCAUUAGUUAUAAACGGCGAGUAGUGAUGUCAUUUUUAUCACAUGACUCACUAACGGUCAUGGAACUGCUCUGUGACUUAUAAUAUCCUUAUAUUUUACAAUAAGCGAUACUUUAUUCACUAUAUCAUUGAUGACAAAUGUAGGGGAAGAUUGGGUAACUGCUCAAGUCACAUCCAUAGUCAUGAUUUUAAAGGACAACAAAAGGGUUACAUACUAAGUGGCAGGACUGGACUGGGAGUCAAAAUAGGCCCUGCCAUUCCAAGUACACAGAGGCCCAAACAGCCCCCCACCAGCCCAAACAGCCCCCUACCAGCCCACUAUAUGGUAGAUUUCUAUAGAACCAUACAGCAGCCCCUCUGGCAUUUGCCAGAACCCACAGAUUGCCAGUCCGGGCCUGCUAAGUGGGGCCAGGCACUACACUGGGAAGGUCUCUAACAAAUUGGCUAAACCCCCCCCCCCCUUGAGAUGAACCCUUUCCUUGACUCGUAUAUCAAACUCCAAAAUGCUCCAUGGGGCUUCCACCAACCAUAAUGAUGGUACAGGCAACAGAAAAGUGAACGCAGGUAGGGUAGUAUGGAGAACAUUGGGCUACAAGGGGCUUCUUUUUGGUUCUUUGGUGAUAUCACUACAUUCAUUUACUGCUUUAAUAUUAUUGACAUAAAGGUCAAUCCAAAGUUCUGCAUAAUAAAAGAUAACUGUCAUGGAUUUUAACUAUACAGUUGUACACUCCAGGUUCUUCACAGAAAGACCUUCUACUAUUUGAACAGAUUAUUCUGAAACACAGACUUCAUCAGAACACACUGCGUGUCAAAGAGAUUCAUGGAGAAAAGCGUCACUAACAAAAGAGAAAAUGUACUGAAAGAGUGUGUGGAAUGGCACUGCUGAUUCUUGAAGAACUGUGGAUAGCAGGUUUCUGGAUAAUACAUACCAAGCCUGUAGUUUAAUAUUGUGACUGAUUUUAGCUGCUGAAUAACAUUUCUUAAUAAUCAGGUGCAAGAGUGCGUUCCUUUCUUUAUAGGGAUUAUGCUCGCUGAUAUUUACGCAAAUUGGUGGAACAUUUCUAAUUACACACAGAGCAGAUAAAAAACAUAAGAUAUUGCAUAUUCAGACAAAGGAGCCAUUUAUAGAGGAAACAUUUUUCACGACCCACAUGAUUAACUCAGUCCUGUCCUGAGACAAUUAGAGCAAUUGAACUGUACAGAGCAAGUAUUCAGACCCUAGUCCUCAAUAAAGGGUGUCAACCCAAAAAAUAAUUGUUUUGCCUAAUAAAAUAACAUAAUUCUA